ACGGCUGACGAGCUCCACCUGCCCGGGUUUGUUGUUCGGAGUUUGCUCUCCUAGGUGUAUUGCCUACCACGGCUGACGAGCUCCACCUGCCCGGGUUUGUUGUUCGGAGUUUGCUCUCCUAGGUGAAUUGCCUACCACGGCUAACGAGCCUCACCUGCCCGGGUUUGUUUAGAGUUUGCUCUCCUAGGUGAACUGCCUCCCACGGCUAACGAGCCUCACCUGCCCGGGUUUGUUUAGAGUUUGCUCUCCUAGGUGAAUUGCCUACCACGGCUAACGACCUCCACCUGCCCGGGUUUGUUUAGAGUUUGCUCUCCUAGGUGAAUUGCCUACCACGGCUAACGACCUCCACCUGCCCGGGUUUGUUUAGAGUUUGCUCUCCUAGGUGAAUUGCCUUCCACGGCUUACGAGCCUCACCUGCCCGGGUUUGUAGCCGGAAGAUCUCCGGCACCUCCGUCGGGGCCCGGAGGGACGCCGAGGAGCCCUGCCUGGAGCCCUCCAUUCCUGCUAUGCUCGCCAGGGAGACCUUGGGCUCGCUGGCACUCCACACCCCCGCCGAGGCGAGGAUGCAAGAACUCGCUUCUUAAAACUACCAGACUGGAUUAUAAAAUUAAUCAUAAUUACUGUGAAGGCGCCGGUCACCGCGUUUAUCGGUUCAGGGAUGGAAGACCGACGGGCCUGGGAAACGCGCACAAGCAUCCAAAGGAAUCCUCGCGACGGCUUGCGACGCAGCAUCCAUUUCCCUUUUCUUUCUCAUUCCAAUUUUUCUUUUUUAUUAUAUUUUCCUUCUCUGAUUGAUUGAUGGAUUGAUUUUACUUGGUAGGAAUCUGCUCACCAAUUAACACCAUUCAGGUGUACAUUGCACCCACA
Molecule: long non-coding RNA, 867 nt
Organism: Eriocheir sinensis (Chinese mitten crab)
Lineage: Eukaryota; Metazoa; Arthropoda; Malacostraca; Decapoda; Varunidae
Exons: 4
Source: RefSeq, a predicted model, not a curated record